AUGGAAGAUGACAAUGGCAGCUAUUCCAGUUUUCAAUCUCUGGAUGAGGCACCGGAGCCGAAAUUCAACAUGUACCAACAAAUUGAUUCCAGUCUUGACAGUCGAUUGUCUGGUGAUUCAACACAGAGUGAAAGGGUAGGAGCUGGCGAGAAGAAAAAAAAGAAAGGAAUCCUUGGAAAAUUGAGAAAACUAACAAAAUCCUCCAGUGUAGAUCAUGAACCUGAAUACGAGUACACGUCUCGAAGUCAGGUAAAUCCAGGCUCUGACACCAGCCUAGCAUCUCAUGGUAACCCCGAGUUAGAAUCCCAUCAAAACAAAAGGAAUUUCAAGAGUCGAAUCUCUGAUAUGUUUAAAAAAUCUGGCUCUACCUCCCGAGGGAACAGGUUUGUACCAUUUCCGUGUUUUUUAGCUGAGUAUUGA
Molecule: long non-coding RNA, 420 nt
Filed under: Bemisia tabaci
Lineage: Eukaryota; Metazoa; Arthropoda; Insecta; Hemiptera; Aleyrodidae
Description: lncRNA ENSSSA1NGG012587
Source: RNAcentral